RNAcentral lists this microRNA (21 nucleotides) under Marchantia polymorpha subsp. ruderalis. Lineage: Eukaryota; Viridiplantae; Streptophyta; Marchantiopsida; Marchantiales; Marchantiaceae. The record is from RNAcentral.
CAAUUCCAUCAUGCGGGCAAG